GACGAGAUAGCCAAGUUUGGUUUAAGGCGACGGUCUGCAAAACCGUAAUCAUGGGUUCAAGCCCCAUUCUCGUCU
This 75-nucleotide transfer RNA is filed under the name Caudoviricetes sp. RNAcentral describes it as "tRNA-Cys". It matches the Rfam family "tRNA". From Rfam's summary of the family: Transfer RNA (tRNA) molecules are approximately 80 nucleotides in length. Their secondary structure includes four short double-helical elements and three loops (D, anti-codon, and T loops). Further hydrogen bonds mediate the characteristic L-shaped molecular structure. tRNAs have two regions of fundamental functional importance: the anti-codon, which is responsible for specific mRNA codon recognition, and the 3' end, to which the tRNAs corresponding amino acid is attached (by aminoacyl-tRNA synthetases). tRNAs cope with the degeneracy of the genetic code in two manners: having more than one tRNA (with a specific anti-codon) for a particular amino acid; and 'wobble' base-pairing, i.e. permitting non-standard base-pairing at the 3rd anti-codon position. The record is from RNAcentral. Lineage: Duplodnaviria; Heunggongvirae; Uroviricota; Caudoviricetes.